GAGAGAGAGAGAGAGAGAAAUCUUCACAUAAAAUCAUCAUGAAAUGAAGAAGAGUCUUAUGAACAGAGAAAGAACCAUGCAUAUUCUCCAUGCUUACCUCUUCAGUUAUUAUUCUCCUUUUCUUUUUUCCUCCAAUAUAUGAUUUUAUAAACAAAAAAUCCAUGCAAAUUCACCUGAUUCGGUUUCAUCGUCUGUGCACUAAAUAUGUAUAAGAUCCAUAUUUCCUUCCAACUCCUUUAGAGCGGGCACAACAAACGCGCGUUUGGAACAGCUACCAGUCGGGUUGCCCGAGGAGCGGUGAGUCCAAACACAUCGCUCGUGUCAAUUUCACUUGGUUUCAUCCCAUCAGGCAACUGCCAUGUAAAACAGUGAAGAAGAUGGGCCACAGCCAAAUCAAGAGAGUAGAGUCCGAGUUGCAUGCCGGGGCAGGAUCUCCGGCCCGAUCCGAAUGGAAUGAACUCGAAAUUGUUUCCUUUAAAAUCAGGCACUCCCUCUUUCAAAAACCUGGAUGGCCUGAAAGUUUCAGGGUCCUCCCAUGAGUUCUUGUCCCUUCCAAUAGCCCAUGCAUUGAUCAUGACCCGAGACUUCGCUGGAAUGUAAUACCCGGCGACCUCUGCCUCCUCGGCCGUCUCAUGUAAGAGAAGUGGGAUUGGUGGGUGAAGUCUUAGAGUUUCUUUGACUGUGCAUUUUAGGUAUGUCAGCUUGUCGAAAUCACUCUCCUCCACGCGCCGCUCUAGACCCACCACAUCGGCAAGCUCUUGCUGGACCUUUUUCAACUCUUCAGGAGCCCUCAUCAACUCCGUCAGGGCCCACUCAAUCGCCGAUGCCACUGUCUCUGUCCCACCAAACAUUACGUCCAUGAUAAUUGCUUUGAUGUUGUCUCGAGUGAGUUUGAAGGAAUUCUGAAGAUCGUCUGAUUCGUUUACUUUAGGCUCAUCGCUGUAGAAAGCUAGCAAAUCAUCCACCAUAUCAGAGUUAUCAUCAGAGACAUUACCCUGCUUACUCUUAUGCAUGUGUUCGUCGAUGAUCAAGUCGAUGAAUCUGUCAAGUGAUUUACGAGCCUUGGCAAGUCUUGAGUUGAGCUUGAGGCCUUGUGGGUCUAUCCAUCCAAGCCAAGGAAUGAAAUCAGCAAUGUUGAAAGCACCAAAAAGCUUGGAGAACUCCUGCAAAAUCUGAAUAAACUCGUCCUGUCCCUCGUUCUUCGAACCGAAAGCAGCCCUAUAAAUAAUAUUCAUGGUUAGAGUAAAAAUCAACUCUCCAACAUUCACUGGCUUCCCUUUGUUGGCCACAACGGUUUUAACCAUAUAAUCAACCUCAUCCCUCACAGAUUCCCAUGACUCAGCCCGUUUACGGCUGAAAAGUUUCAUGACGCAGAGCUUGCGCAUCUGGCGCCAGAAAGGGCCGUAGUGGGCGAAGGCCAUAUCUGCACGGUCAUAUGUGAGAUAACUGAUGGCUAUGGUGGCUGGUCUAUUUGAGAAAAUAUUAUCUUGGACUUGAAGUACUUGGCGAGCUAUCUCAGGAGAAGAAACAGCAAACAUGUGAAUGUUUCCCAUGCGAAGAUGGAAGAGGCCACCAUAUUCUUUAGCUAGUUUAGCUAAACCCCGGUGAGUUAACUGGUCCAUCAUGAGCAGGUUACCUAUAAUUGGCAAGCCUUUAGGCCCUGGAGGAUAUCGCAAUCGUCUACGAAGGAGAGAGAUUAGACCUAGUAGGAAUAGUAAAGGAACAAUAAGGAAAAGAGUGAAGGGUAAAGGUUGCAGAGCUUGGAGAAGAGCUUCCAUGGCGGGUUUCUCUCUCUGCCUGUAUACUGCUAGCUAGUUGAAAUGUUAGCAGCUAGGUUGGGCAAGAUAUUAUGGGGUCUUUAUAUACAUAUUUUCUUCACCGCCUCCUG
Molecule: unclassified non-coding RNA, 1888 nt
Filed under: Hevea brasiliensis (rubber tree)
Lineage: Eukaryota; Viridiplantae; Streptophyta; Magnoliopsida; Malpighiales; Euphorbiaceae
Source: RNAcentral